GGAUGUGAGGGUGAUCUGGCUGCGACAUCUGUCACCCCAUUGAUCGCCAGGGUUGAUUCGGCUGAUCUGGCUGGCUAGGCGGGUGUGCCCUUCCUCCCUCACCGCUCCAUGUGCGUCCCUCCCGAAGCUGCGUGCUAGGUCGAAUAGGACGACCAUCCCCGCUAGAGGAGGACUGGUCUUUGGUCACGGCUAUACGAGUAGCUGCGCUCCCCUGCCAGAACCUCCAAACAAGCUCUCAAAUAGAAUGAUUGUGUGUGUGCGUGCUGUGUGUUGACAUAAAACCAUGCUAUAGCUUUUGAAAAUAAUAGUUC
Unclassified non-coding RNA from Ochotona princeps (American pika), 311 nucleotides. Its record names the gene 7SK. It matches the Rfam family "7SK RNA". Rfam says of the family: 7SK was discovered as an abundant small nuclear RNA in the mid-70s but a possible function has only recently been suggested. Two independent studies have found that 7SK RNA binds the CDK9/cyclin T complex (known as elongation factor P-TEFb). P-TEFb activates transcription by phosphorylating the C-terminal domain of RNA polymerase II. Lineage: Eukaryota; Metazoa; Chordata; Mammalia; Lagomorpha; Ochotonidae. The record is from Ensembl.